Molecule: non-coding RNA, 125 nt
Filed under: Herpetosiphon aurantiacus
Lineage: Bacteria; Bacillati; Chloroflexota; Chloroflexia; Herpetosiphonales; Herpetosiphonaceae
Source: RNAcentral
AAUCAUAAAUUGCUAUUCAAAUGUUGUGCAAACAGUUGGGGGAAAUCCGGUGCAAAUCCGGUGCAGUCCACGCUACGGUAAGCCUUUGGCCAAGCCCGAAUACCCAUUGAAUAGUUGAUUUCUGG